GAUGAACGCUGGCGGCGUGCCUAAUACAUGCAAGUCGAGCGAACGGACGAGAAGCUUGCUUCUCUGAUGUUAGCGGCGGACGGGUGAGUAACACGUGGAUAACCUACCUAUAAGACUGGGAUAACUUCGGGAAACCGGAGCUAAUACCGGAUAAUAUUUUGAACCGCAUGGUUCAAAAGUGAAAGACGGUCUUGCUGUCACUUAUAGAUGGAUCCGCGCUGCAUUAGCUAGUUGGUAAGGUAACGGCUCACCAAGGCAACGAUGCAUAGCCGACCUGAGAGGGUGAUCGGCCACACUGGAACUGAGACACGGUCCAGACUCCUACGGGAGGCAGCAGUAGGGAAUCUUCCGCAAUGGGCGAAAGCCUGACGGAGCAACGCCGCGUGAGUGAUGAAGGACUUCGGAUCGUAAAACUCUGUUAUUAGGGAAGAACAUAUGUGUAAGUAACUGUGCACAUCUUGACGGUACCUAAUCAGAAAGCCACGGCUAACUACGUG
This 497-nucleotide ribosomal RNA is filed under the name uncultured bacterium. RNAcentral describes it as "partial 16S ribosomal RNA". It matches the Rfam family "Bacterial small subunit ribosomal RNA", at positions 28 to 507 of the family's 1533-position model. The record is from RNAcentral.